CAAACACAGAAUUGGAGUUUUUCAAAACACUGAGUUAUGAAGGAGUGUAACAGCUGAAUCUGAGAGACCUGGAGGCAAAUGAAGACAUUGACUUUCAGAAAAAGAACUAAGUGAAAUGAAGACAAGAAAGCAAUGUACUAGAUACAGAGUUCAAAACACUGGUUAUAAG
Molecule: long non-coding RNA, 169 nt
Organism: Eptesicus fuscus (big brown bat)
Lineage: Eukaryota; Metazoa; Chordata; Mammalia; Chiroptera; Vespertilionidae
Exons: 3
Source: RefSeq, a predicted model, not a curated record